AAAGCACGGUGAGAGCAUUUUCUAAGUAUUUCCAUAAAAUUUUCCCAUCUUUCAUAAAUGGAUUCUCCUUCAAACUGAGUUAAAGAACUUAUUUCAUUUCUAUAUUU
Dendrobium catenatum is the source of this 107-nucleotide small nucleolar RNA. Lineage: Eukaryota; Viridiplantae; Streptophyta; Magnoliopsida; Asparagales; Orchidaceae. The record is from RefSeq and is a predicted model, not a curated record.